CGCCUGUUUAUCAAAAACAUCUUUUCUCGUUAGUUUUUGAAGUAUGGCCUGCCCGCUGACUUUAUGUUGAAGGGCCGCGGUAUUUUGACCGUGCAAAGGUAGCAUAGUCAUUAGUUCUUUAAUUGUGAUCUGGUAUGAAUGGCUUGACGAGGCAUGGGCUGUCUUAAUUUUGAAUUAUUUAUUGAAUUUGGUCUUUGAGUUAAAAUUCUUAGAUGUUUUUAUGGGACGAGAAGACCCUAUAGAGUUUAACAUUUAUUAUGGUCCCUUUCUGUUUGUGAGGGUUCACUGGGCCAUUUAAUAUGUUUUGUUGGGGUGAUGGGAGGGAUUUAUUUAACCCCUCCUUUAUAUUGUUAUAUUUAUUUAUAUUUACUUGAUCCAUUUAUUUUGAUUGUAAGAUUAAAUUACCUUAGGGAUAACAGCGUAA
This 424-nucleotide ribosomal RNA is filed under the name Reticulitermes hesperus. RNAcentral's name for it is "partial 16S ribosomal RNA". It matches the Rfam family "Bacterial large subunit ribosomal RNA", at positions 1797 to 2485 of the family's 2925-position model. Lineage: Eukaryota; Metazoa; Arthropoda; Insecta; Blattodea; Rhinotermitidae. The record is from RNAcentral.